UGCCAGCAGCCGCGGUAAUACGGGGGAGGCAAGCGUUAAUCGGAUUCAUUGGGCGUAAAGGGCAUGCAGGCGGUUUCUUAAGUCGGAUGUUAAAGACCACCGCUCACCGGUGGAAGUGCGUUCGAUACUGAGAGACUGGAGUCCAUCAGAGGCAAGCGGAAUUCCGGGUGUAGCGGUGAAAUGCGUAGAUAUCCGGAGGAACACCAGUGGCGAAGGCGGCUUGCUGGGAUGGUACUGACGCUGAUAUGCGAAAGCCAGGGGAGCGAACGGGAUUAGAUA
Molecule: ribosomal RNA, 279 nt
Filed under: uncultured bacterium
Lineage: Bacteria
Description: partial 16S ribosomal RNA
Rfam family: Bacterial small subunit ribosomal RNA
Source: RNAcentral